This 1431-nucleotide ribosomal RNA is filed under the name uncultured organism. Its description in RNAcentral is "16S ribosomal RNA". It matches the Rfam family "Bacterial small subunit ribosomal RNA". The record is from RNAcentral.
CAGGCUUAACACAUGCAAGUCGAGGGGCAUCAGGAAGAAAGCUUGCUUUCUUUGCUGGCGACCGGCGCACGGGUGAGUAACACGUAUCCAACCUGCCCUUUACUCGGGGAUAGCCUUUCGAAAGAAAGAUUAAUACCCGAUAGCAUAAUGAUUCCGCAUGGUUUCAUUAUUAAAGGAUUCCGGUAAAGGAUGGGGAUGCGUUCCAUUAGGUUGUUGGUGAGGUAACGGCUCACCAAGCCUUCGAUGGAUAGGGGUUCUGAGAGGAAGGUCCCCCACAUUGGAACUGAGACACGGUCCAAACUCCUACGGGAGGCAGCAGUGAGGAAUAUUGGUCAAUGGGCGCUAGCCUGAACCAGCCAAGUAGCGUGAAGGAUGAAGGCUCUAUGGGUCGUAAACUUCUUUUAUAUAAGAAUAAAGUGCAGUAUGUAUACUGUUUUGUAUGUAUUAUAUGAAUAAGGAUCGGCUAACUCCGUGCCAGCAGCCGCGGUAAUACGGAGGAUCCGAGCGUUAUCCGGAUUUAUUGGGUUUAAAGGGAGCGUAGGUGGACUGGUAAGUCAGUUGUGAAAGUUUGCGGCUCAACCGUAAAAUUGCAGUUGAUACUGUCAGUCUUGAGUACAGUAGAGGUGGGCGGAAUUCGUGGUGUAGCGGUGAAAUGCUUAGAUAUCACGAAGAACUCCGAUUGCGAAGGCAGCUCACUGGACUGCAACUGACACUGAUGCUCGAAAGUGUGGGUAUCAAACAGGAUUAGAUACCCUGGUAGUCCACACAGUAAACGAUGAAUACUCGCUGUUUGCGAUAUACAGUAAGCGGCCAAGCGAAAGCAUUAAGUAUUCCACCUGGGGAGUACGCCGGCAACGGUGAAACUCAAAGGAAUUGACGGGGGCCCGCACAAGCGGAGGAACAUGUGGUUUAAUUCGAUGAUACGCGAGGAACCUUACCCGGGCUUAAAUUGCAGUGGAAUGAUGUGGAAACAUGUCAGUGAGCAAUCACCGCUGUGAAGGUGCUGCAUGGUUGUCGUCAGCUCGUGCCGUGAGGUGUCGGCUUAAGUGCCAUAACGAGCGCAACCCUUAUCUUUAGUUACUAACAGGUUAUGCUGAGGACUCUAGAGAGACUGCCGUCGUAAGAUGUGAGGAAGGUGGGGAUGACGUCAAAUCAGCACGGCCCUUACGUCCGGGGCUACACACGUGUUACAAUGGGGGUACAGAAGGCAGCUAGCGGGUGACCGUAUGCUAAUCCCAAAAGCCUCUCUCAGUUCGGAUCGAAGUCUGCAACCCGACUUCGUGAAGCUGGAUUCGCUAGUAAUCGCGCAUCAGCCACGGCGCGGUGAAUACGUUCCCGGGCCUUGUACACACCGCCCGUCAAGCCAUGGGAGCCGGGGGUACCUGAAGUACGUAACCGCAAGGAUCGUCCUAGGGUAAAACUGGUGACUGG